RNAcentral lists this ribosomal RNA (468 nucleotides) under Triticum aestivum (bread wheat). RNAcentral's name for it is "partial small subunit ribosomal RNA". The record is from RNAcentral. Lineage: Eukaryota; Viridiplantae; Streptophyta; Magnoliopsida; Poales; Poaceae.
AUGAUACUAUACCUUGAUGCGCUUGUCCAUGACAUCCCAGUAAGCAAUUGCGCGAUACGAUCGAAUGCAUGGGAUAGUACUCUAAUUGCCAAGGUGAUGAAGAAGGAUACUAUCUCUCCUGAGGAGUAUAGAGGCACGGAGCAGACACCACUGUUUGGUGGAAUUUUGCAAGCGGAAGCAUUCGUGGCAUCCAAGUUACCAAUAACCUACAAUCCGCAGAAAAAGGAAAAGAUUGCGAAAGUGGUCAAUGACCUGUGCAAGGCUGAGGAAGAGAAGGAGGAGGAGGAGGAGGACAAACAAGAAGAGGACAAAGGAGAGGAGGAGGACAAGGAAGAAGAUAGUGAGGCGGAGGAGGAGGAAGAAGAAGGUGAGGCCAAAGAGGGGGACGGGGACAAAGGUGCAGCAGUUGAUGGCAGUGAGAGGGGAGAAGACAAAGGCGCAACAGUUGAUGGUAGUGAGAGGGAAUAA